This 356-nucleotide unclassified non-coding RNA is filed under the name Hevea brasiliensis (rubber tree). Lineage: Eukaryota; Viridiplantae; Streptophyta; Magnoliopsida; Malpighiales; Euphorbiaceae. The record is from RNAcentral.
GGAAAAUCCUUAAGAUUUUUGCAGCGAAAAGCUAGCUUCUUAUCCAUUUCAACAAUGUUAAUCCCUGAAAAAUACAUGUUAAACUAGCUUAAUGUUGAGAUGCCAUCCUGUUAAAUACACAGAUAAAACGGAUCACAGUCUAGUCUGUUUAUAUUUAAACAUGCCAUUGUCAAAAUUUAUAAUGAAAGAAGCAUCAGAAGACCUUGGAAACAAGGAUUAUAUAACCACUCAUUGUCAGGAGCAAACCUAAAACAUAGGAAACAAGGAUCAACAAUGCUCACCUUUGUUGGGAAUCCUAUUUAUUUUCUGUUUGCCUUCUACCUCUUGAGUCCUCCGGCCCUCGCCUUCACCAAUCU